UUUUGGUAGGUAGAACUUUGAAAUCUACUCAGUAGAACAGUAGGUUCUACUGUAGAACACAGUAGGUAGAACUUUGAAAUCUACUCAUUGUUACUCCACAGGGAUAGUUCCAUUUUGGCCUCCCAGAUUUUGUUUCUGUGAGCUGGGAAAGUGUAACAAAGUGAGUACUGCUGGGUAACCUCCCCAGGAGCUUCCCAAGACAGCAUGGAAGAUUUAUUUAGAUGUUUCAGGCAACCAUUCAUAAAAGACUUCUAUGAUGUGACACUGCAGACUGAUAUCCUAUUCCACACAUUCCCUCCCAUUCUUAUAACAUUGCAAAUUGAAUUUAACCUUUGGAACUUCUUGGUGAAAAAAUAUUAGUAAAAGAACUCCCAGGUAUAAUAAAAUUAUUACACAGUUUUA
Molecule: long non-coding RNA, 402 nt
Organism: Passer domesticus (house sparrow)
Lineage: Eukaryota; Metazoa; Chordata; Aves; Passeriformes; Passeridae
Exons: 2
Source: RefSeq, a predicted model, not a curated record